GGGCGUGUGGUCUAGUGGUAUGAUUCUCGCUUUGGGCGAAUUCCGAGUUACACUUGGAAUACAAAUCAUUCAAAUAUGCGAGAGGCCCUGGGUUCAAUUCCCAGCUCGCCCC
Molecule: transfer RNA, 112 nt
Filed under: Vanderwaltozyma polyspora DSM 70294
Lineage: Eukaryota; Fungi; Ascomycota; Saccharomycetes; Saccharomycetales; Saccharomycetaceae
Rfam family: tRNA
About the family: Transfer RNA (tRNA) molecules are approximately 80 nucleotides in length. Their secondary structure includes four short double-helical elements and three loops (D, anti-codon, and T loops).
Source: Rfam by way of RNAcentral